GUCAUUCUUUAGGAGAGGCCAGGAAGGACUGGCAGCAUUUCCCAUCCCUCCUCUCCACCCGCAGACCCAUCUUCCUCUGCAAAAUCAGAUGAUAAUGGUGCCUGAUGAGCUCCAGCCUCGCCUUGGCAUUGCAAAGAAAUGUGGAGAACAUGGCCAACAAACAUGCAGUUGCAUUACAGAUUUGCCUUUUCCAGAUGGUUAGCUCAUGUCAGAAGCCAGGAAAUAUAUUGCUUACAGCCCUGCAUGUGUUUCUGAAGAAGAAUCCUGAUAAAUGUGUCUGAUCUUUGCAAAUAACAAAAUUGGCAUGAUUCAUAGGAGGAAAAUGGCUCUACUCUAGUGUAGUAAAUUAGAUAUUACUCAAGCCAUGUUAGUUAGACAUCUUUAAAUGUUUGUUCUUACUUUAAAAUUAAUGAAGCUAAUUUAAGGAUGCUGUUACAACUAUGCAUCUAAGGUGCUUGCAUACUGGAAAAAAUAUGUUUUUACUGACCAUGACAUUAUCACACAGUAGGGGCUAAACAAACAUCAAUAAAAGAGAAUAAGUGACCCAGAACUGUCAGAAAGCUUUUUUUUUUUUUCUGAACACGUUGUAGCAUAUAGCUGUUCAGUGCUUUAGUUGCAUACCAAUUUCACAUCCGCAAUCAGAACUGAUUCCAACUACUACACAAUAAGGUGAGUUUUUGAGGAAAACAAACAUCAGAAAAGAUUACACAACACCACACAGCCAGUAACUCAUAGCAUCAAAACGGUGAUAAGUCAUCUGACCUCCAAGUUCAAAAUUUUUUAAAAAAUAUCUCAGGUUGGUCUUUAAUAGCAUACAACAAUCACUGAAUCACUGUUUUAACUACAUAUAUCAAGCAAUUCAAAGUUCCCUUGUAGCUCAUAUGCUACUCUGUGGAUUAAUCCUCAGACAGUAAAGCAGGAAUACUUGUGUGGAAUUUGUUGAGGACAGACUAUUGAGGAUUUCUUAUAGUUGAAGAAACUGAAGCUGGAAUGUGAGUUAAUGCUUAUUUUAUCUAAAGUGUACCUCAUUUGUCCAAUAAAUUAAUAUAACUAGUUUUGAGAAUGAUUUGGCCAUUGGGCUGACCUGUCUUUGAAAAGGUUUCUCUCCUUCCUUCAAAGGAGAUAUGAAACUAAAUGUCUCCCACUGAACAUUCAUUUCAGGUAGGAUAUUCAACAUGGUUCUUUGCUCUUGACAGGAUUUCACCUUUCCUAGAAAAUUAAUGUGUUCACAAGGGUCAUUUACUAAAUUUAGUCUUACAUUUGUGCAGCUAUCAAAGAAAAGUUCUAAACUGCAAAUUGGACUUUUAAAAAAUUACAAGAAUACCUCACUUUAAAGGCAAAAGAGAUGAGAACACCAAGAUAAGAGAUUUCCCUAUUUUCCUUAAAUUCACAAACCACGGCAUAUGGAAAUUCAUUUAAAAAUAACCUUAUCAAACAGAUUAUAUAGUACAGAAAAGAAUUUUGAUUUCUGAUUCCCUUGCAUGUUAUAAACAUCCACUAUAUACAUUUUCAUUCGUCUUUUGGGGUUUUGAGGAAGCCAUACUUCCAUUUUAUACUGGUUUGAAUACCAGAAUCUUAUUCUGGCUAUGGGUGUGCAAGAGCUAUGAGUUAAUGCCUAUUGUUUUGUUUUCUAGAACAUUCUUCACAAUGACAUUUUUUAAAUUGAUUUUAAUCUUAAUAGCACAUUGAGUCAGUGUUGUCAGAAACUACAAGAUUUUUUCAGGGAUGUUUUAUAGAAUGUUAGUCACAUCAAAUGCAAACAUGUGGAUGUGAUGAUCAAAUAAGUUUAGGAAACACUAGGCAAAGAAAAGCUAAUCAGAUUCCUUUAUUACAGAUCUGUAAUAUGUUACUGUGUGUUGGGGGGUGGUGUCAUAAUUUUUCAAGAGAGGGAACUGGUAUGCAAUAUUUUCCAAACUUAUUUGACACUGGAACCAUUUUCAGACCUCAUCACAUGACAUUAGUAUGCCAAGGAAAAUUCUUUGAGAAAAUGUGAUCAAUGGGAAAAGAUCCCAGAUUCUUCUCUUCGAUUGUUCCUAUGCCCCAGCAUCCUUAUUUUAUAGAUGCGAUUUGGAAUACCUAUGAUGUAUCCACUCACAUUGAAGUUACCUGUCGUUUCUCUGCCUAAGCACACAGAUUCCUCUAAUUCGGCCUUUCACUAUGUGGAAGAGUUUAAUGUUAUUUCUACACUUGAGGUACUCACUGUAGUAUCUCAUCUUUUUAUCACCUAAAAUAUAUUACACAUUUUUCUUUUGAUCCAGCUUGACCAUCAAAAAACUCUUUGUAGUUUAACCAUAACUAUUUUGACCACAUGUAGAAAGCACUUCACUGAGUUUAAUUUGGGAGGUUUUGAUCUUAGUUUUUGUUGAGGGGUAGCAGGAGAAGCAGUCUUAUGAGAUAUAUUAUGGUAAUUACUGUAGGGAUUGUAUUUAAGUCUCUUAGAAAAGAUCCAUAUGCUUUUUUUAGUACUUGAACUAGGAAAACAGCAUGUUUUCUCCUCAUCAAACUAUAAUUGACUGUCUUUAUUUUGAACACCAGGAAGCUUAAAGCCAAGUCAGGGCACAACUGGAUCAAUGAUUUAUGAUCUGAGAGACUGCACAUUUGUGUUAUAUUUUCAUCUCUCCCUAACUUGUGUUAACCUCUCACUCUCUAUUUCCUCUACUGUUAUUUUGCAUUUAUUCAUGAUAUACUAUUUUAUUUUAUGUGUGUUUGUUUUAGUUGAAUUUAUCUUUUUUUUUCUUUAUGGAAUGAUGCAAUAAAAAAACAAAACAAACAUUUAAAAAAAAGGAAGAAAAAUAAUUCUGGUUCCAAUCUUAAUUACUAGAAGCUGUGGUACAAGACAUAACUGAUACUGGGCAAGUAUUUAAUAUUCAUAGUUCAAUUUGGAAUACAUGUCAACGAAGUUCAUGGUAACUGUAUUUUUUUUUUAUGGUGCCAGCAUACACAUUAGAGGAUCAAAGUUCUUCAAUCCUCCUUAAAUGCUUCAGUUAAAAAUCCAUGAAUAUCUAAAGUUUUGACAUAACCAAGAUAGUUAUCAAUUGGGAUGUCAACCAAGACAGCAAUAUAGGAGGGACCCGAAUUCCCCUCCUCCUGUGGACACACUGAAUCCAUGACCACACCAAGAAUAAUUACCUCUCAAAAUAUGUGAAACUAGGAAACAACUACUACACAUCAGGCAAAUGAGAAAAUACCCCACAUCAAAAUAGAUCAGAAAGGCUGAGAUAUAUGUUUGCCAUAAACACUACCCCUGGUCCAGCACCAUUUAAAUGGAAGGGAACUCCUAACUCCCAGCUUUCCCUUGAACCAAGGGUUUGCUCCAAAAUUUAAUACCUAAUUUUUAAGAAUCUCAACUGAAGGGCAGCCCUUCCCCAACAUAUAGCUCUUAAAUCAAUGAAGCUUGUGUUCAAUAAGCCUAUAAAAACAAAGGAGUAGUUUUUAAUGGAUGUGUAAGCAUUUGAUAUAGAGCUACUCUCUCAGAGUUCAGUACAGAGGAAGCAGGCAAAAUUACCCAUCUUAUUGUCUUGUCCAAAAGGAGUCCAUCUGCACAUUUUGAAAACUUCUGCCUGAAGUUUAGGCUUUUGAUUUAACACACAUUUAGGGGCUAGCUUCAGUAGUCCCUGGAAACCAGGGAAACUAACAAACACCUCUCUUACUGAUUCCUGGUAGCAUGCUCCAAGUCACCAGUAUCUCCCUAGAAGGAGCUUGUACAUAUGUGUUCCACUUCGUGCAGCUGCUGCCCAAGGUUGCAAGUCCUUGGUUAUAUCUGGCUCUGGUAGCCAACAGGGCUUCUCUUCGCAAAUCCAACAAGACUGUGACAAUCACAGGUAUCUUCCUAUACCAUGGACCCAGUACAGAGGAAUCAGGGGGAAAAAAUGCUUAUCUCUAGUUUUUCCCUGAAAAGACUUAACUACGCACAUUCACUUCUGCCUGAAGGUCCACAUUCUAGGCACUGAAUGUGACCUUCCCUCUUGGAUACUGACAGGUCUUGGCACACCGUCAACUACUAGGAGUCACUAAGAAUAAAGAGGGAAGCUUGGACAAUUAAAAAGUCUGAGGAAUUUAAAAAAAAAAACAGUAUCUCAUGCUGGACUGAGGGAAGAGGUAUCUCCUAUAUAAGACCACUCUGUCAAAACUGGAAAAGGUGGUCCGAUCUUAAUGAUUUCUUUCUUUCUACUAAUUUUGGGUUUUCUUUUUCUUCUUUCUCUAGUUGUUUUAGGUGUAAGGUUAAGUUGUUUAUUUGAUUUUUUUUGUUGUUUCCUCAGGUAAGUUUGUAUUGCUAUAAACUUUCCUCUUGGGACUGCUUUUGCUGUACACACAUAGAUUUUGCAUCACAGAAGAUCUAAAUACAUCUCUCCAAAGAAGACAUAAAGGUGGCCAAAAGUUACAUGAAAAGAUGCUCAACAUUACUUAUUAUUAAAGAAAUGCAAAUAAUCAAAAUUAUAAUGAGGUAUGAACUCACACUGGUCAGCAUGGCCAUCAUCAAAAAGUCUACAAAUAAUAAAAGCUGGAGAGGGGAAGAAAUAGUGGGAAUGUAAAUUGGUAUAGCCACUAUGGAGAACAAUAUGGAGGCUCCUUAAAAACUAAAAAUAGAGCUAUCAUAUGCUCCUCUAAUCCCACUAUUAGGCAUAUAUAUGGACAAAACUAUAAUUUUAAAAGAUCCAUGUACCCCAAUAUUCACUGCAGCACUAUUUAUAAUUGCAAAGACAUGGAAGCAACCUAAUGUCCAUCGACAGGUGAAUGUAUAAAGAAGAUGUGGUAUACACACCCAAUGGAUAUUACUCAGCCAUAAAAAAAGAAUGGAAUAAUGCCUUUUGCAGCAACAUGGAUGGACCUAGAGAUUAUCAUACUAAGUGAAGUAAGCCAGACAAAGACAGAUAUCAUAUAAUAUCACUUAUAUGUGGAAUAUUUAAAAAUGAUACAAAUCAAAUUAUAUGCAAAACAGAAAUAUAAACAGAAACACAGAAAACAAACUUAUGAUUAACGAAGGUAAGAGAUAAAUAAGGGAUUUGGGAGUAACAUAUACCCAUUACUAUAAAUAAACAGAUAAUCAACAAGGACCUAUUGUAUUAAAUGAAGAACAAUAUUCAAUAUUUUGUAAUAAAAUAUAAGGGAAAAUAAUUUGGAAAAGCCAACUGAAUUACUUUGCUGUACAUCUGAAGCUAACAACAUCAUAAAUCAGCUAUACUUCUAUAAAAAUAAAAUAAUUAAAUGAAAUUAACAAUUUUUGUAGGAUUUUUAUUUUUCUAUUAUAGUUGAUUUACAAUGUUCUGUCGAUUUCUGCUGUACAGCCAAGUGACCCAGCCAUAUAUAUAUAUGUACAUAUAUAUAUUCUUUUUCUCUUAUCCUCCAUCAUGUUCUAUCAUAAGUGACUAGAUAUAGUUCCCUGUACUAUACAGCAGGAUCUCAUUGCUUAUCCACUCCAAAUGCAAUAGUUGAAAGAAAAAGAAACUGGGAAAGGUGGGUGUUUUAUCUCAUGCAUAAAAACCAACACUGACAGUCAACUAAAAUGAAGAAACAGGAAUAUAUUUCAAAAAAGAGAAUAUGAUGACUCUCCAGUAACAGAUCUUAGUGACACAGAUAUAAGUAAUUAACCUGAUAGAGAGUUCAAAGUAAUGAUCAUAAAGAUGCUCAUCAAGUUAAGGAGAGCAAUGCAUGAACAAAAUAAGAAUUUCAACAAAGAGAGAAAAUGUUAAAAAGUACAAAAGAAAAAUCAUAUAGUUGAAGAAUAUAAUAAGUGAACUGAUAAAUUCAAUAGGGAGGUUUAAUAGCAGACUAAAACAACCAAAAGAAGGGAAUAGCACACUUAAAGACAGGACAGUAGAAUUCAUCUAAUC
Molecule: long non-coding RNA, 5831 nt
Filed under: Sus scrofa (pig)
Lineage: Eukaryota; Metazoa; Chordata; Mammalia; Artiodactyla; Suidae
Description: lncRNA (ENSSSCG00000056210.1)
Source: RNAcentral